Molecule: long non-coding RNA, 1122 nt
Organism: Pipistrellus kuhlii (Kuhl's pipistrelle)
Lineage: Eukaryota; Metazoa; Chordata; Mammalia; Chiroptera; Vespertilionidae
Exons: 3
Source: RefSeq, a predicted model, not a curated record
UCCCCGUUUGAGGUAGAAACCGGGGGAGUCUGGGAUACACACACGCACCCCGCCGAGAAACCCCGCCGGAUGUGCUAUGAGCACAGUCAUCACCCCCAGGAGUUUCCUCCCGCCCACGGUAUCAUCAUGUUCAUGUGUGUGCGCGAUAAGAACCCUUCACAGGAGAUCUACCCUCUUAGCAAACGUUUGCGUGUACAAUGCAGUAUUGUUAACGCCGGGCGCCGCCGUGGGGGAGUCUAGGGUUUAUCCCAGAGAAGGCUUACAGCUGAGAAACCCCUCGCCUUCUUCUCCAGGUCACCUCCCCCUCCUGCCUCUGCAGGGCCAGCAGGGCAGAGAGACCCCCUCCCCCCAGCGGGGAGGGGAGCAGAGCAUCCCCCGGUGCCCGCCCCCCCCUCCCCCCCCUCCCCUGGGAAGGAGCCGUGUAGUGAAAACCGGGUCACAGCCCGAUCUGUCCCGACACGUCUCCCGCGGGGCGGGCAGACAGACGGGUGACACCUGGUGUGCGUGAGAGCAGCGAGCCGCCGAGCCCGCCGCUGCCCGGCCUGCGUGCCAGGCCCGGGCGCUGACUCACGCCGAGCGAGCGGCAGGUGUGUCCGGUGCUCGGCGUGCAGACCCGGCCAAGAGCAUUUCCUGGUUACCUGGGCAGAGGGAAAGCAACACGGGGUUCCGUGCUCACCUCGAGUGGAGGCCGGGGAGUGUCGAUCCGGGGCCAGGGGGGACCCCCUUUCCUUCAGGGGGGUGGGGGGGACUCAUUUUCACCAAAGAGGGGCGAGGAGAGCCAGCCCGGUGGGUUUGGGGAAGCGGCCGAAGGGGACGGAGUCUGGCCUGGCGGUGAGACUUUGCAGGAGAGGCUUGUGAGAACUCGGGGAGACCAGGAAAGAGGCUCUUGUUCUGUCCCCCCCCCAGCCACCACCACACCGGGACCCCACGCGUCUCCACCUCCCUCCACAUACACCUGUGAGCUCCGGGGGCGCCAGCUUCGAGUGGCCGCCACCGACGGCGGGCGAUGUGUGUUUGGGAGGAGGAAGUUUUGAGGUUACUUAACUCUCAACAAAACAGACUUCUGCUGUCCAGAUAGAGGGUCUCUGUUACGCGAGGGUCUGGUCACCGGGGCUGGGCUUU